Molecule: ribosomal RNA, 253 nt
Filed under: uncultured bacterium
Lineage: Bacteria
Description: partial 16S ribosomal RNA
Rfam family: Bacterial small subunit ribosomal RNA
Source: RNAcentral
GACGGGGGGGGCAAGUGUUCUUCGGAAUGACUGGGCGUAAAGAGCGUGUAGGCGGCUUUACAGGUCCGUUGUGAAAACUCGAGGCUCAACCUCGAGACGCCGGUGGAAACCGUAAGGCUAGAGUCCGGAAGAGGAGAGUGGAAUUCCUGGUGUAGCGGUGAAAUGCGCAGAUAUCAGGAGGAACACCAGCGGCGAAGGCGGCGCGCUGGGCCGGUACUGACGCUGAGGAGCGAAAGCGUGGGUAGCAAACAGG